CCUGUCCCCUCCCUGUCUGCUGUCUCACCAGGUACACUGAUCAGCCAUGAGAAACUCCUGCUGCAGAUCAACACAGAGAGAGAGAUGGGCAACAUGGACUACAAACUGGGACAGGUAGGAUGGAGAGAGAGAUGGACUACAAACUGGGACAGGUAGGAUGGAGAGAGAGAUGGACUACAAACUGGGACAGGUAGGAUGGAGAGAGAGAUGGACUACAAACGGGGACAGGUAGGAUGGAGAGAGAGAUGGACUACAAACUGGGACAGGUAGGAUGGAGAGAGAGAUGGGCAACAUGGACUACAAACUGGGACAGGUAGGAUGGAGAGAGAGAUGGACUACAAACUGGGACAGGUAGGAUGGAGAGAGAGAUGGACUACAAACUGGGACAGGUAGGAUGGAGAGAGAGAUGGACUACAAACGGGGACAGGUAGGAUGGAGAGAGAGAUGGACUACAAACUGGGACAGGUAGGAUGGAGAGAGAGAUGGACUACAAACUGGGACAGGUAGGAUGGAGAGAGAGAUGGACUACAAACUGGGACAGGUAGGAUGGAGAGAGAGCUGGACUACAAACUGGGACAGGUAGGAUGGAAGGAGAGAGAGAUGGGGAACAUGGACUACAAACUGGGACAGGUAGGAUGGAGGGAUGGAAGGAGAGAGAGAUGGACUACAAACUGCGACAGGUAGGAUGGAGGGAGAGAGAUGGGACACAUGGGCUACAAACUGGGACUGGAGGGAUGGAAGGAGAGAGAGAUGGACUACAAACUGGGACAGGUAGGAUGGAGGGAGAGAGAGAUGGGACACAUGGACUACAAACUGGGACAGGUAGGAUGGAAGGAGAGAGAGAUGGG
Molecule: long non-coding RNA, 848 nt
Organism: Oncorhynchus tshawytscha (Chinook salmon)
Lineage: Eukaryota; Metazoa; Chordata; Actinopteri; Salmoniformes; Salmonidae
Source: Ensembl